Molecule: long non-coding RNA, 826 nt
Organism: Culex pipiens pallens (northern house mosquito)
Lineage: Eukaryota; Metazoa; Arthropoda; Insecta; Diptera; Culicidae
Exons: 2
Source: RefSeq, a predicted model, not a curated record
UUGAUUCAAUUUGACAAUUUGACAAUUUGACAAUUUGACAAUUUGACAAUUUGACAAUUUGACAAUUUAGUACUAAGUACUAUUUCCUUUUUGGGUAAAUUUGUGAAAAAAUUAAUGAUAUUAUUCUCGAGCAAAUGUGCUUCAAAGAAUGCAUUCGGAUCUUGAAUCUAACAGUUUAUUUUUUUAUUAUUUUGAUUUAAUUUUUGUUGACAUGUUAUCCGACAUACCCGGUACGAUUUACGAACCUUGCGACCAUGGCGUUCUACCUACCUGUGAUAUACAACCUUGCCUUGCGACGCACAAAGAAAGUGACAGUUUGCCGAUAACCUCGUCUCGUCGCGGUUAUGGCUUUGCUUUUCUAUGCAGACUUGAGCGUCGCGGUUUUAUGUGGCUGGAACAAUCGGGUUAAAAUUGCGUAGUUAAAUCGACCAAAAGGCAGUUGCGAACGUGGACCAAACCUCUUUAAUUCGACUCCGGCAAAAUAUGCUCAUCACUGAUUUUCCGCGGCGGCAGGUAGGCCACGGGCUAUGUUCCGGUGGCCAUGUCGAUGCGCAUGUCCCAGGAUGGCCAGCACCGCCACAGGCCGGCUUGGUUGCGGUUGGAGAUAGCUGCUUCAAGUUUCGCCAUCAACCAACUCAUCUUGUACUGCCGCGGCCAGAGAAAUGGAACCAAAUUGAUAGGUGUUAAAGUGUAAUUCUCGAGUUUUUUUUUGAUUAGGUCCUAUAAACAUAUGAAAGACAAUGGUUUAUUGGUCCUUUUCAAAAAAACUCUGGAAUUGUUUUUCGUGUAAAAUUGUGAAUAAAUUAUGGUUUUUUAAAAAUGAAAA